Molecule: non-coding RNA, 28 nt
Filed under: Cricetulus griseus (Chinese hamster)
Lineage: Eukaryota; Metazoa; Chordata; Mammalia; Rodentia; Cricetidae
Also listed under: 2 other names
Source: RNAcentral
GGGCUGGAGAGAUGGCUCAGCGGUUAAG